RNAcentral lists this ribosomal RNA (359 nucleotides) under uncultured bacterium. Its description in RNAcentral is "bacterial SSU rRNA". It matches the Rfam family "Bacterial small subunit ribosomal RNA", at positions 28 to 385 of the family's 1533-position model. The record is from RNAcentral.
GAUGAACGCUAGCGGGAGGCUUAAUACAUGCAAGUCGUACGGUAACAGGUGUAGCAAUACAUGCUGACGAGUGGCGCACGGGUGAGGAACACGUACGCAAUCUGCCUCUGACUGGGAGAUAGCCUUGGGAAACUAAGAUUAAUACCCCAUAACAUCCCGCCAUGGCAUCAUGGCGGGAUUAAACCUCCGGGGGUCAGAGAUGAGCGUGCGUUUGAUUAGGAGUUGGCGGGGUAACGGCCCACCAAGCCUACGAUCAAUAGCUGGCGUGAGAGCGCGACCAGCCACACGGGAACUGAGACACGGUCCCGACUCCUACGGGAGGCAGCAGUAGGGAAUAUUGGACAAUGGCUGAAAAGCUG